RNAcentral lists this ribosomal RNA (440 nucleotides) under Flavobacterium sp. GCM9. RNAcentral's name for it is "bacterial SSU rRNA". It matches the Rfam family "Bacterial small subunit ribosomal RNA", at positions 624 to 1071 of the family's 1533-position model. Lineage: Bacteria; Pseudomonadati; Bacteroidota; Flavobacteriia; Flavobacteriales; Flavobacteriaceae. The record is from RNAcentral.
CCAUUGAUACUGCUAAACUUGAAUUAUUAGGAAGUAACUAGAAUAUGUAGUGUAGCGGUGAAAUGCUUAGAGAUUACAUGGAAUACCAAUUGCGAAGGCAGGUUACUACUAAUUGAUUGACGCUGAUGGACGAAAGCGUGGGUAGCGAACAGGAUUAGAUACCCUGGUAGUCCACGCCGUAAACGAUGGAUACUAGCUGUUGGGAGCAAUCUCAGUGGCUAAGCGAAAGUGAUAAGUAUCCCACCUGGGGAGUACGUUCGCAAGAAUGAAACUCAAAGGAAUUGACGGGGGCCCGCACAAGCGGUGGAGCAUGUGGUUUAAUUCGAUGAUACGCGAGGAACCUUACCAAGGCUUAAAUGUAGUUUGACCGAUUUGGAAACAGAUUUUUCGCAAGACAAAUUACAAGGUGCUGCAUGGUUGUCGUCAGCUCGUGCCGUGAG